Molecule: long non-coding RNA, 1388 nt
Organism: Centropristis striata (black sea bass)
Lineage: Eukaryota; Metazoa; Chordata; Actinopteri; Perciformes; Serranidae
Exons: 4
Source: RefSeq, a predicted model, not a curated record
AAGAUUCCAGACACCCUUACUACAAAAGAAGACCAGGAUACUUCAUGGCCUUGCACACCAAUGGAAUUAUGGACUGGAUGGAAGAUUCUACACACCCUGACUACAAAAGGGCUCAGUUCACAGGAAGUGCAGGGUGGACAUCUGAGCCUUUUGGGUUGAGCCACCACAGUUCUUCAAUUUCCAACAUACAAAGGCCUGGAGGCAUCCUUAUUGUUUUAUUGGCUUCCUCCUGACCUUUGCUUGAUUGACAAGUUGACCCCCCCCAAGAUUUCAUCCUCCACCAAGCUGACUUUCCUACACGGUAUUGGUCACUAAGCUGUUUUUGCACUCAGGAUGCCACGGUGAUGACAUUCUCUCACAAACUUGUGACAGCACCAGCGCUACAGAACACACCAGACAUUGUGCGAGAAAAGAUAUUCGCCUGUUGGGUUUAAAUCCGAAAAUGUUGCAAAAUAGCCGCUUUUCGCUUUGACACCAAAUCCUCUAACUCCCGCUCCUCUGUUGCUUCUGCUGCUGCUGCUGUACAGAGAAAACACUUUCAGUUUAUAAUGAAUUCCACCUAAUGCAGCUGUGCCGCAUUCAGGCUGCACCAUGGUGGUUGGAGUUGCCACAAGACGUGUAAAACACUCCUUUCAGACAUGCUCCUAAUGUGUUUUUAAAUUUAACAGUGAACAGUGUGAAGUUGAUCUUUUGAUGAAGGCACUUCACUGCUAAUUUACCUAAUUUUUUCCCAUGUUGCUACAGUAUUUUAAGUUUUGUGUGUAACAGUAUUUUUGUUAAUACUGUAGGUGCGCUGCUGCGGCUGAUAUGAAAAAUUGAGGCUAUAGUGAAAGAAAGGAAUGAGCUGAAUAUAUUUGCAGGACAAAUGUGACAUUAUGUUUUAAUAAAUCACACAGUGACUAAUGUAAAGUUGUUAUAUUCAGGACAUUGGUGGUUUUCUUGAAUUUCUAUUGUCUCACCAUAUAAUUCACAAACCACAGAGGUUGUUGAUAGUUCAUUAAUUACCUGAGGUGUCCACUUAAUGAAGGUCUCGUGAGAACGGAGCUUAAAGGCUUAUUACAGUUGAUAUAUUCCCCUUGCAUACCCAUGCAUGCAAUCAAAGAUAGGAACACACAUAAUGAAAAUAUAAAAUACAAGACACAAGACUGGUUAAAAACCUAAUAUAUGGUUGACCGUGUUUGGCGAUUUUGUGGGCAAUGUGUUAGAGGAAUAGUUAAUGGUAGUGUGUAUAAUGUGAUACUAGUAGCUAGUAUGCUUUUGGCCCUUUUUUAUUACAAAAAAAGUAUGCUUAAUGAUAUAAUAAACUCAUCUGUGUCUCAUGGAUCAAAUAGGAUUUUAUUCUAUUAAAUGUGUCAAUCCACAUUGAGACCCCUUUCCUCAAAUGGCUA